This 208-nucleotide ribosomal RNA is filed under the name uncultured bacterium. RNAcentral's name for it is "partial 16S ribosomal RNA". It matches the Rfam family "Bacterial small subunit ribosomal RNA", at positions 568 to 774 of the family's 1533-position model. The record is from RNAcentral.
AGCGUAGGCGGAUCUUUAAGUGGGAUGUGAAAUACUCGGGCUCAACCUGGGGGGCUGCAUUCCAAACUGGAGAUCUAGAGUGCAGGAGAGGAAAGUGGAAUUCCUAGUGUAGCGGUGAAAUGCGUAGAGAUUAGGAAGAACACCAGUGGCGAAGGCGACUUUCUGGACUGUAACUGACGCUGAGGCUCGAAAGCGUGGGGAGCAAACA